This 253-nucleotide unclassified non-coding RNA is filed under the name uncultured Myxococcales bacterium. RNAcentral's name for it is "contains 16S-23S intergenic spacer region". It matches the Rfam family "Bacterial small subunit ribosomal RNA", at positions 524 to 776 of the family's 1533-position model. The record is from RNAcentral. Lineage: Bacteria; Pseudomonadati; Myxococcota; Myxococcia; Myxococcales.
UACGUGGGGUGCAAGCGUUGUUCGGAAUUACUGGGCGUAAAGCGUGUGUAGGCGGCUGGUUAAGUCUGAUGUGAAAUCCCUGGGCUCAACCCAGGAACUGCAUUGGAAACUGGCCAGCUUGAGUCCGGGAGAGGGUAGCGGAAUUCCUGGUGUAGAGGUGAAAUUCGUAGAUAUCAGGAGGAACACCGGUGGCGAAGGCGGCUACCUGGACCGGAACUGACGCUGAGACACGAAAGCGUGGGGAGCAAACAGG